UAUUCUGCCCUACGGGGAAGGAUGAGAAGCUUCGACCAGGGUUCGACUCGAGCGUAGCGAGAGAACGUUGCCGAAGGCAACGGCCCGAAGGGCGAGGCGCUUUAGCGCCGAGUUAUCCUUCCCCCACCACCA
This 132-nucleotide small RNA is filed under the name Klebsiella quasipneumoniae subsp. similipneumoniae. Its description in RNAcentral is "RtT sRNA". It matches the Rfam family "RtT RNA". Rfam says of the family: This family represents a bacterial cis-regulatory element known as RtT RNA. The exact function of RtT is unknown although it is thought that it may be involved in changing the cellular response in relation to amino acid starvation. RNAcentral also lists the same sequence under 1 other name. The record is from RNAcentral. Lineage: Bacteria; Pseudomonadati; Pseudomonadota; Gammaproteobacteria; Enterobacterales; Enterobacteriaceae.